This 200-nucleotide ribosomal RNA is filed under the name uncultured bacterium. Its description in RNAcentral is "partial 16S ribosomal RNA". It matches the Rfam family "Bacterial small subunit ribosomal RNA", at positions 8 to 200 of the family's 1533-position model. The record is from RNAcentral.
AGAGUUUGAUCAUGGCUCAGGAUGAACGCUAGCGGCAGGCUUAAUACAUGCAAGUCGAGGGGCAGCAUGGUGUAGCAAUACACUGAUGGCGACCGGCAAACGGGUGCGGAACACGUACACAACCUUCCUGUAACUGGGGAAUAACCCGGAGAAAUUCGGACUAAUACCCCAUAGUAUAAUAAAGUGGCAUCACUUGAUUA